GAGUUUGAUCCUGGCUCAGGAUGAACGCUAGCGGCAGGCCUAAUACAUGCAAGUCGAACGGUGAUAUUUAUAUCAUAGUGGCGCACGGGUGCGUAACACGUAUGCAACCUACCUAUUAUUGGGGGAUAGCCUUUGGAAACGGAGAUUAAUACCGCAUAAUACGAUUAACUGGCAUCGGUUGAUUGUUAAAGCAUUUGCGAUAAUAGAUGGGCAUGCGUCCAAUUAGUUAGUUGGUGUGGUAAUGGCUCACCAAGACGAUGAUUGGUAGGGGAUCUGAGAGGAUAAUCCCCCACACUGGCACUGAGAUACGGGCCAGACUCCUACGGGAGGCAGCAGUAGGGAAUAUUGGGCAAUGGGCGGAAGCCUGACCCAGCCAUGCCGCGCGCAGGAAGACGGCGUUAUGCGUUGUAAACUGCUUUUUUAUAGGAAGAAGGAUCCCUUGCGAGGGAAGGUGACGGUACCAUAAGAAUAAGCACCGGCUAACUCCGUGCCAGCAGCCGCGGUAAUACGGAGGGUGCAAGCGUUGUCCGGAUUUAUUGGGUUUAAAGGGUGCGUAGGCGGUUUAUUAAGUCA
Molecule: ribosomal RNA, 573 nt
Filed under: uncultured bacterium
Lineage: Bacteria
Description: bacterial SSU rRNA
Rfam family: Bacterial small subunit ribosomal RNA
Source: RNAcentral